GCCAGGCAUGGUGGCGCAUGCCUGUAAUCCCAGCUACUCGGGAGGCUGAGGCAGGAGACUCGCUUGAACCCGGGAGGCAGAAGUUGCAGUGAGCCUAGUUUGCACCACUGCACUGCAGCCUGGGCAACAGAGCAAGACUCUGUCUCGA
Molecule: non-coding RNA, 148 nt
Organism: Pan troglodytes (chimpanzee)
Lineage: Eukaryota; Metazoa; Chordata; Mammalia; Primates; Hominidae
Rfam family: Metazoan signal recognition particle RNA
About the family: The signal recognition particle (SRP) is a universally conserved ribonucleoprotein. It is involved in the co-translational targeting of proteins to membranes. The eukaryotic SRP consists of a 300-nucleotide 7S RNA and six proteins: SRPs 72, 68, 54, 19, 14, and 9.
Source: Rfam